AUUAUAGAAUAUGUGCCUACUAACAUCUAAAAUGUUCUUAUUCUUUUUCUCCAAUCUUUUUAUGUUGAUGAGAUGCUCAACUCUCAAUUUUUUCACCUGGAAAUUGUGGUAGGCAAACACAGUCCCAAAUUUUAACUGAAGUAUUUCCAUUCAGGAAGUCCCUUUUUGUGCCUGGAUCUGUUUCUUUAUGUGCAUUCAUGCAUGUUUAUUCCUAACCUCAAAGCAAAUGAACUUUUCAUUAGUGUACAUACAUCCUUACACCUGGUAUCUUUUACACCUUGUCUCAUAUUGAAUACGUCUCUUUUUAUAUGAACCUGAAUGUGAUAUUUGCAUAUUCUGUAAUGCUGAUUUUUUUUUUCCUGUAAUGCUAUUUCUCUACGUGCAUUCAUGUCAUGUUUAUUCCUGGCCUUAAAGCAAAUGAACUUUUCAUUAGCGUACAUACAUCUUUACACCUGGUAUCCUUUACACCUUGUCUCAUAUUGAACACAUCUCUUUUUAUAUGAACUCGAAUGUGAUGUUUGCGUAUUCUGUAAUGCUGAUUUUUUUUUUUUCCUGUAAUGCUGUUUCUCUACGUGCAUUCAUGUCAUGUUUAUUCCUGACCUUAAAGCAAAUGAACUUUUCAUUAGUGUACAUGCAUCCUUACACCUGGUAUCCUUUACACCUUGUCUCGUAUUAAACACGUAUCUUUUUAUAUGAACCCAAAUGUGGUGUUUUUGCAUAUUCUUUAAUGCUGAUUUUCUUUUUUUUUUUCCCUGUAAUGCUGUUUCUUUAUGUCAUUCAUGCAUGUUUAUUCCUGACCUUAAAGCAAAUGAACUAUUCAUUAGCGUACUUACAUCCUUACACCUGGUAUCCUUUACAUCUUGUCUCGUAUUGAACACAUCUCUUUUUGUAUGAACUCAAGUGUGGCGUUUGCAUAUUCUGUGAUGCUGAUUUUUUCCCUGUAGUAAAAGCAAUCAGAAAUAGACUGAUUGUUCAGAAUUUCACAGG
This 987-nucleotide long non-coding RNA is filed under the name Carica papaya (papaya). RNAcentral's name for it is "long non-coding RNA (CPAP_LNC011290)". The record is from RNAcentral. Lineage: Eukaryota; Viridiplantae; Streptophyta; Magnoliopsida; Brassicales; Caricaceae.